GUAGGUGGCAAGCGUUGUCCGGAAUUAUUGGGCGUAAAGCGCGCGCAGGCGGUUUUUUAAGUCUGAUGUGAAAGCCCACGGCUCAACCGUGGAGGGUCAUUGGAAACUGGAGAACUUGAGUACAGAAGAGGAAAGCGGAAUUCCACGUGUAGCGGUGAAAUGCGUAGAGAUGUGGAGGAACACCAGUGGCGAAGGCGGCUUUCUGGUCUGUAACUGACGCUGAGGCGCGAAAGCGUGGGGAGCAAACAGGGAUUAGAUACCCUGGUAGUCCACGCCGUAAACGAUGAGUGCUAAGUGUUAGGGGGUUUCCCGCCCCUUAGUGCUGCAGCUAACGCAUUAAGCACUCCGCCUGGGGAGUACGGCCCGCAAGGCUG
Molecule: ribosomal RNA, 374 nt
Filed under: uncultured organism
Description: partial 16S ribosomal RNA
Rfam family: Bacterial small subunit ribosomal RNA
Source: RNAcentral